GGGGUCUUCGGCAGCACAUAUACUAAAAUUGGAAUGAUAUAGAGAUUACCAUGGCCCCUGCACAAGGAUGACACGCAAAUUCGUGAAGCGUUCCCUAUUUUU
Molecule: small nuclear RNA, 102 nt
Organism: Apodemus sylvaticus (European woodmouse)
Lineage: Eukaryota; Metazoa; Chordata; Mammalia; Rodentia; Muridae
Source: RefSeq, a predicted model, not a curated record